RNAcentral lists this microRNA precursor (58 nucleotides) under Podarcis lilfordi (Lilford's wall lizard). Lineage: Eukaryota; Metazoa; Chordata; Lepidosauria; Squamata; Lacertidae. The record is from RNAcentral.
UGUGUGUGUGUGUGUGUGUGUGUGUGUGCACGCACGCACGCACGCACACGCACACACA